CUACUAUAUAAGCACGUGGUAUAUUUGAUUAAUCCUCAGUGAAAUCAAAGGUUUUUCGGCUGUUUUCGAGUUGCUAAUAUACUUUUUCAAGGAUGUUGCCCAAGAGUUAUUUAAUGUUCCUGCUCGUUGCUUUUCUGAUUGUGAACCAAUUGUCAACAAGCUCUGGUUAUCCUCUUGAUCGAAAAAUAGGUGGUAAUAGUACCGCGACACCUACCGCAAAUGUUGCAGAAAAGUCAACAGAUGUCUCUGAACCCCGUCUAACAUCUAUCCCUGAAAAGCAUGCACAACAGUUAAAUGAUGAAUAUGUAUUCGGUCGCUCUCAUACCACUAAAGCUGUCUCAAAUGAUCCAGUUAUGUAAAGUAAUAGAAAUAAGAAAAAAGUUAAUUUUCAAAUACUAAAAUUAUAAACAAAUAUAUAU
This is a long non-coding RNA of Bactrocera dorsalis (oriental fruit fly), 419 nucleotides long. RefSeq lists it as uncharacterized. The transcript is spliced from 2 exons. NCBI's taxonomy places the organism in Eukaryota, Metazoa, Arthropoda, Insecta, Diptera, Tephritidae. The record is from RefSeq and is a predicted model, not a curated record.